ACGCAGUACGCUGGCGGCGUGCCUAGUACAUGCAUAGUCGUAACAAGGUACCGUAGAGACUCUCUGCUGGUAGGGAAGGCAGUGGAAUGAGCGGCGGACGGGUGAGUAACAGCGUAAGGAACCUGCCUCAAGGAUUGGGAUAACUCCGAGAAAUCGGAGCUAAUACCGGAUAGUUCAACGGACCGCAUGGUCCGCUGAUGAAAGGCGCUCCGGCGUCACCUUGAGAUGGCCUUGCGGUGCAUUAGCUAGUUGGUGGGGUAACGGCCCCCCAAGGCGACGAUGCAUAGCCGACCUGAGAGGGUGAUCGGCCACACUGGGACUGAGACGCGGCCCAGACUCCUACGGGAGGCAGCAGUAGGGAAUCUUCCACAAUGGACGAAAGUCUGAUGGAGCAACGCCGCGUGAGUGAUGAAGGUUUUCGGAUCGUAAAACUCUGUUGUAAGGGAAAACACGUGCGAGAGGGACUGCUCGUACCUUGACGGUACCUUACAAAAAACCCGGGAUAACUACAGGCCGGCAGCCG
RNAcentral lists this ribosomal RNA (523 nucleotides) under Exiguobacterium sp. M2N2c. RNAcentral's name for it is "bacterial SSU rRNA". It matches the Rfam family "Bacterial small subunit ribosomal RNA", at positions 31 to 517 of the family's 1533-position model. The record is from RNAcentral. Lineage: Bacteria; Bacillati; Bacillota; Bacilli; Caryophanales.